GGGCUGGGGGCGGAGGUCGCUAGUGCCAACAGCGUCCUCGGAACCGGCGGGGUCGGAGCGCAGCUCUUGCGGCCGGGACGCGGCUCGGGGACCCUGAUUCUUACUUUGCCGGAACAAACUGCUUGAGUGGAAACGUUGGGAGCUGACACCAUCGGAUUUGAGCUCCAGGUGACUGAGGUUCGCAGAGGCGAAGCCCCCGACCAGGUGCCUGGUGGAGCGGGCACUCACAUCUCAGUGCCCAGCCUGGGAGCCCCCAGGAGCCCAGUAAGAAUUCUAGCAUCAUCCUCUCCGGGUGAUGCAGGCCUUGGAGCUGCCCAGCUGUCGUGCUUAUGUAAGGUUCAAACCCAAGCCAGGCUAGCACAGAGCCAGUUUUGGGGGACCUUCCCAAGCACGAUGAGGUUGAGACCCCUGUGAGGGCUGCUCUAAGCCUCAGCUGCGGAGCUGGU
Molecule: long non-coding RNA, 446 nt
Organism: Aethalodelphis obliquidens (Pacific white-sided dolphin)
Lineage: Eukaryota; Metazoa; Chordata; Mammalia; Artiodactyla; Delphinidae
Exons: 3
Source: RefSeq, a predicted model, not a curated record